GUUCUCACUUCGGCAGCCCAUAUACUAAAAUUGGAACGAUACAGAGAAGAUUAGCAUGGCCCCUGUGCAAGGAUGACAUGCAAAUUCAUGAAGCGUUUCAUAUUUUU
Molecule: small nuclear RNA, 107 nt
Filed under: Octodon degus (degu)
Lineage: Eukaryota; Metazoa; Chordata; Mammalia; Rodentia; Octodontidae
Source: RNAcentral